GGGUCGUUAGCUCAGUUGGUAGAGCAGGGGACUUUUAAUCCCAAGGUCGUGGGUUCGAUUCCCACACGACCCA
The sequence is a transfer RNA, 73 nucleotides long. It matches the Rfam family "tRNA". From Rfam's summary of the family: Transfer RNA (tRNA) molecules are approximately 80 nucleotides in length. Their secondary structure includes four short double-helical elements and three loops (D, anti-codon, and T loops). The record is from Rfam.